This 174-nucleotide ribosomal RNA is filed under the name uncultured bacterium. RNAcentral's name for it is "partial 16S ribosomal RNA". It matches the Rfam family "Bacterial small subunit ribosomal RNA", at positions 337 to 528 of the family's 1533-position model. The record is from RNAcentral.
ACCUACGGGAGGCAGCAGUGGGGAAUAUUGCACAAUGGGCGAAAGCCUGAUCCAGCCAUGCCGCAUGAGUGAAGAAGGCCUUUGGGUUGUAAAGCUCUUUUAGUGAGGAAGAUAAUGACGGUACUCACAGAAGAAGUCCUGGCUAACUCCGUGCCAGCAGCCGCGGUAAUACAA